Molecule: ribosomal RNA, 407 nt
Filed under: uncultured bacterium
Lineage: Bacteria
Description: partial 16S ribosomal RNA
Rfam family: Bacterial small subunit ribosomal RNA
Source: RNAcentral
GACGAACGCUGGCGGCGUGCCUAAUACAUGCAAGUAGAACGCAGUUGCGAACGGGUGAGUAACGCGUAGGUAACUGCCUCAUAGCGGGGGAUAACUAUUGGAAACGAUAGCUAAUACCGCAUACUGUGAGAUGGACCUGCGUUGUAUUAGCUAGUUGGUGAGGUAAAGGCUCACCAAGGCGACGAUCCAUAGCCGACCUGAGAGGGUGAUCGGCCACAGCGUGACAUGGGAACGGGCCAGACUGCGAUGGAAGGCAGCAGUGGGGACUCGAGGGUAAUGGACGGAAGUCUGACCGAGCAACGCCGGGUGAGGGAAGAAGGUUUUCGGAUCGUAAAGCUCUGUUGUUAGAGAAGCGGUAACUAAUUAGAAAGGCACGGCUAACUACGUGCCAGCAGCCGCGGUAAUUC